AUUGAACGCUGGCGGAAUGCUUUACACAUGCAAGUCGAACGGCAGCACGGGGGCAGCCCUGGUGGCGAGUGGCGAACGGGUGAGUAAUACAUCGGAACGUGCCCGGUCGUGGGGGAUAACGUAGCGAAAGUUACGCUAAUACCGCAUACGAUCUGAGGAUGAAAGCGGGGGACCUUCGGGCCUCGCGCGAUCGGAGCGGCCGAUGUCAGAUUAAGUAGUUGGUGGGGUAAAGGCCUACCAAGCCGACGAUCUGUAGCUGGUCUGAGAGGACGACCAGCCACACUGGGACUGAGACACGGCCCAGACUCCUACGGGAGGCAGCAGUGGGGAAUUUUGGACAAUGGGCGCAAGCCUGAUCCAGCCAUUCCGCGUGCAGGACGAAGGCCUUCGGGUUGUAAACUGCUUUUGUACGGAACGAAAAGGCUCUGGCUAAUACCUGGGGCUCAUGACGGUACCGUAAGAAUAAGCACCGGCUAACUACGUG
This 484-nucleotide ribosomal RNA is filed under the name uncultured bacterium. Its description in RNAcentral is "partial 16S ribosomal RNA". It matches the Rfam family "Bacterial small subunit ribosomal RNA", at positions 30 to 507 of the family's 1533-position model. The record is from RNAcentral.